AACGAACGCUGGCGGCAUGCCUAACACAUGCAAGUCGAACGAGACCUUCGGGUCUUGUGGCGCACGGGUGCGUAACGCGUGGGAACCUGCCCUUAGGUUCGGCAUAACUCCCCGAAAGGGGUGCUAAUACCGGAUAAUGUCUUCGGACCAAAGAUUUAUCGCCUUUGGAUGGGCCCGCGUUGGAUUAGCUAGUUGGUAGGGUAAAAGCCUACCAAGGCGACGAUCCAUAGCUGGUCUGAGAGGAUGAUCAGCCACACUGGGACUGAGACACGGCCCAGACUCCUACGGGAGGCAGCAGUGGGGAAUAUUGGACAAUGGGCGGAAGCCUGAUCCAGCAAUGCCGCGUGAGUGAUGAAGGCCUUAGGGUUGUAAAGCGCUUUUACCCGGGAUGAUAAUGACAGUACCGGGAGAAUAAGCUCCGGCUAACUCCGUG
This 433-nucleotide ribosomal RNA is filed under the name uncultured bacterium. RNAcentral's name for it is "partial 16S ribosomal RNA". It matches the Rfam family "Bacterial small subunit ribosomal RNA", at positions 29 to 507 of the family's 1533-position model. The record is from RNAcentral.